This 205-nucleotide long non-coding RNA is filed under the name Capsicum annuum. RNAcentral's name for it is "long non-coding RNA (CANN_LNC012505)". The record is from RNAcentral. Lineage: Eukaryota; Viridiplantae; Streptophyta; Magnoliopsida; Solanales; Solanaceae.
UUUCCCAACCAAUCCAGUGGAAAAUAUAGCUGUAGUUAGGAUUUGGAAUUUCACUAUGAUAAAUCCCCCUCUGUUUUUGGGAUCCAAGUCUGAGAGGGAUCCAUAGAAGCCUUUGGACAUGGUGUAGAAAGUGACAGAUAUCAUGGGCAUCACUUCGAGUGAGAGUGUAGAGUUGGCUGCAUACCAGUCUGAGGAUGUAGCUUAC